GAGUUGCGAACGGGUGAGUAACGCGUAGGUAACCUGCCUGGUAGCGGGGGAUAACUAUUGGAAACGAUAGCUAAUACCGCAUAACAGUCGACAUUGCAUGAUGUUGAUUUGAAAGGGGCAAUUGCUCCACUACCAGAUGGACCUGCGUUGUAUUAGCUAGUUGGUGAGGUAACGGCUCACCAAGGCAACGAUACAUAGCCGACCUGAGAGGGUGAUCGGCCACACUGGGACUGAGACACGGCCCAGACUCC
RNAcentral lists this ribosomal RNA (251 nucleotides) under uncultured Streptococcus sp. Its description in RNAcentral is "partial 16S ribosomal RNA". It matches the Rfam family "Bacterial small subunit ribosomal RNA", at positions 93 to 339 of the family's 1533-position model. The record is from RNAcentral. Lineage: Bacteria; Bacillati; Bacillota; Bacilli; Lactobacillales; Streptococcaceae.